AAAGGGGCUUCGGCCCUGAGUAAAGUGGCGCACGGGUGAGUAACACGUGACUAACCUACCCUUGAGUGGGGAAUAACUUCGGGAAACCGAGGCUAAUACCGCAUAACACCUACGGGUCAAAGGAGCAAUUCGCUUAAGGAGGGGGUCGCGGCAGAUUAGUUAGUUGGCGGGGUAAUGGCCCACCAAGACGGUGAUCUGUAUCCGGCCUGAGAGGGCGCACGGACACACUGGAACUGAAACACGGUCCAG
RNAcentral lists this ribosomal RNA (249 nucleotides) under uncultured bacterium. Its description in RNAcentral is "partial 16S ribosomal RNA". It matches the Rfam family "Bacterial small subunit ribosomal RNA", at positions 71 to 334 of the family's 1533-position model. The record is from RNAcentral.